This 400-nucleotide ribosomal RNA is filed under the name uncultured bacterium. Its description in RNAcentral is "bacterial SSU rRNA". It matches the Rfam family "Bacterial small subunit ribosomal RNA", at positions 355 to 768 of the family's 1533-position model. The record is from RNAcentral.
UGGGGAAUUUUCCACAAUGGGCGAAAGCCUGAUGGAGCAAUACCGCGUGAAGGAAGACGGCCUGUGGGUUGUAAACUUCUUUUCUUAGAGAAGAAAAAAAUGACGGUAUCUAAGGAAUAAGCACCGGCUAACUCCGUGCCAGCAGCCGCGGUAAUACGGGGGGUGCAAGCGUUGUCCGGAAUGAUUGGGCGUAAAGCAUCUGUAGGUUGUUUUUCAAGUCAACUGUCAAAUACCAGAGCUUAACUUUGGACAGGCAGUUGAGCACUGAGAGACUUGAGUAUGGUAGGGGUAGAGGGAAUUCCUAGUGGAGCGGUGAAAUGCACAGAGAUUAGGAAGAACACCAGUGGCGAAAGCGCUCUACUGGGCCAUAACUGACACUGAGAGAUGAAAGUUGGGGGAG